Molecule: unclassified non-coding RNA, 265 nt
Filed under: uncultured Rickettsiales bacterium
Lineage: Bacteria; Pseudomonadati; Pseudomonadota; Alphaproteobacteria; Rickettsiales
Description: contains 16S-23S intergenic spacer region
Rfam family: Bacterial small subunit ribosomal RNA
Source: RNAcentral
UACGAGGGGGGCUAGCGUUAUUCGGAAUGAUUGGGCGUAAAGCGCACGUAGGCUGCUUAGUAAGUUGAAAGCAAAAUCCCAUAGCCCAACUGUGGAAAGCAUUUCAAAACUAUUAAGCUCGAGUUUGGGAGAGGAUAGUGGAAUUUCUAGUGUAGAGUUAAAAUCCGUUGAUAUUAGAAGGACCUCCAGAGGCGAAAGCGACUAUCUGGCCCAAUAAAGUUAAAAAUACUGACGCUGAGGUGCGAAAGCGUGGGGAGCAAACAGG